CAGCCGCCACGGUAAUACGGAGGGGGCUAGCGUUGUUCGGAAUUACUGGGCGUAAAGCGCACGUAGGCGGCUUUGCAAGUCAGAGGUGAAAGCCCGGGGCUCAACUCCGGAAUAGCCUUUGAGACUGCAUCGCUUGAACACGGGAGAGGUGAGUGGAAUUCCGAGUGUAGAGGUGAAAUUCGUAGAUAUUCGGAAGAACACCAGUGGCGAAGGCGGCUCACUGGACCGUUGUUGACGCUGAGGUGCGAAAGCGUGGGGAGCAAACAGGAUUAGAUACCCCUGUAGUCCCUGUCUCUUAUAA
RNAcentral lists this ribosomal RNA (301 nucleotides) under uncultured bacterium. Its description in RNAcentral is "partial 16S ribosomal RNA". It matches the Rfam family "Bacterial small subunit ribosomal RNA", at positions 509 to 809 of the family's 1533-position model. The record is from RNAcentral.